GAUGAACGCUGGCGGCGUGCCUAAUACAUGCAAGUAGAACGCUGAAGGAAGGAGCUUGCUCUUUCCGGAUGAGUUGCGAACGGGUGAGUAACGCGUAGGUAACCUGCCUGGUAGCGGGGGAUAACUAUUGGAAACGAUAGCUAAUACCGCAUAACAGUAGAUGUUGCAUGAUAUCUACUUAAAAGGUGCAAUUGCACCACUACCAGAUGGACCUGCGUUGUAUUAGCUAGUUGGUGAGGUAACGGCUCACCAAGGCGACGAUACAUAGCCGACCUGAGAGGGUGAUCGGCCACACUGGGACUGAGACACGGCCCAGACUCCUACGGGAGGCAGCAGUAGGGAAUCUUCGGCAAUGGACGGAAGUCUGACCGAGCAACGCCGCGUGAGUGAAGAAGGUUUUCGGAUCGUAAAGCUCUGUUGUAAGAGAAGAACGAGUGUGAGAGUGGAAAGUUCACACUGUGACGGUAUCUUACCAGAAAGGGACGGCUAACUACGCG
This 497-nucleotide ribosomal RNA is filed under the name uncultured bacterium. RNAcentral's name for it is "partial 16S ribosomal RNA". It matches the Rfam family "Bacterial small subunit ribosomal RNA", at positions 28 to 507 of the family's 1533-position model. The record is from RNAcentral.